Molecule: ribosomal RNA, 108 nt
Filed under: uncultured bacterium
Lineage: Bacteria
Description: partial 16S ribosomal RNA
Rfam family: Bacterial small subunit ribosomal RNA
Source: RNAcentral
UACACACCGCCCGUCAAGCCAUGGAAGCUGGGGGUACCCGAAACCGGUGUGCCUACUCCGACGCAAGUCGGGAGGCAGCCGACUAAGGUAAAACCAGUGACUGGGGCU